ACACGACUACAUUAGAUACCCGUGUAGUCCUAGCCGUAAACGAUACUCGCUAGGUGUCGGCCACGGUGCGACCGUUGUCGGUGCCGUAGGGAAGCCGUGAAGCGAGCCACCUGGGAAGUACGGCCGCAAGGCUGAAACUUAAGGAAUUGGCGGGGGAGCACAACAACGGGUGGAGCUUGCGGUUUAAUUGGAUUCAACGCCGGAAAUCUUACCGGGACCGACAGCAACAUGAAGGCCAAGCUGAAGACUUUGCCGGAUUAGCUG
RNAcentral lists this ribosomal RNA (264 nucleotides) under uncultured archaeon. RNAcentral's name for it is "partial 16S ribosomal RNA". It matches the Rfam family "Archaeal small subunit ribosomal RNA", at positions 719 to 982 of the family's 1478-position model. The record is from RNAcentral.